Molecule: ribosomal RNA, 468 nt
Filed under: uncultured bacterium
Lineage: Bacteria
Description: partial 16S ribosomal RNA
Rfam family: Bacterial small subunit ribosomal RNA
Source: RNAcentral
GACGAACGCUGGCGGCGUGCUUAACACAUGCAAGUCGAACGGAAAGGCCCUGCUUUUGUGGGGUGCUCGAGUGGCGAACGGGUGAGUAACACGUGAGUAACCUGCCCUUGACUUUGGGAUAACUUCAGGAAACUGGGGCUAAUACCGGAUAGGAGCUCCUGCUGCAUGGUGGGGGUUGGAAAGUUUCGGCGGUUGGGGAUGGACUCGCGGCUUAUCAGCUUGUUGGUGGGGUAGUGGCUUACCAAGGCUUUGACGGGUAGCCGGCCUGAGAGGGUGACCGGCCACCUUGGGACUGAGGUACGGACCAGACUCCUACGGGAGGCAGCAGUGGGGAAUAUUGCACAAUGGGCGGAAGCCUGAUGCAGCAACGCCGCGUGCGGGAUGACGGCCUUCGGGUUGUAAACCGCUUUCGCCUGUGACGAAGCGUGAGUGACGGUAAUGGGUAAAGAAGCACCGGCUAACUACGUG